UGAUAAUAAUUUAAGGUYUAAUCUGCUCAAUGAUAAUAUUAAAUAGCCGCAGUAUUUUGACUGUGCAAAGGUAGCAUAAUCAUUAGUUUCUUAAUUAGGAACUUGUAUGAAGGAUUGGACGAGAGAAUUUCUGUCUCAUUUUAAUAUUUAUUGAAUUUAACUUUUAAGUUAAAAGGCUUAAAUUAUAAUAAAAGACGAGAAGACCCUAUAGAGUUUUAUUUUAAUAAUAUAUUUAGUAUAAUUAUAUUAAUAAAAAAUUAGUUGGGGUGAUUGAAGGAUUAGAUUAACUCCUUUAAUAUUAAAUCAUUGAUUUAUGAAUUUAAAAUCUAUUAUAUUAAUUUUAAAUUAAAUUACCUUAGGGAUAACAGCGUAAUUUCUUAUUAGAGUUCUUAUCAAAUAAGAAGGUUACGACCUCGAUGUUGGAUUAAAAUUUAAUUUAGGUGUAGAAGCUUGAAUUUUAAGUCUGUUCGAC
RNAcentral lists this ribosomal RNA (472 nucleotides) under Micronaspis floridana. RNAcentral describes it as "partial 16S ribosomal RNA". It matches the Rfam family "Bacterial large subunit ribosomal RNA", at positions 1837 to 2585 of the family's 2925-position model. The record is from RNAcentral. Lineage: Eukaryota; Metazoa; Arthropoda; Insecta; Coleoptera; Lampyridae.